Long non-coding RNA from Harmonia axyridis, 486 nucleotides. RefSeq lists it as uncharacterized. NCBI's taxonomy places the organism in Eukaryota, Metazoa, Arthropoda, Insecta, Coleoptera, Coccinellidae. The transcript has 2 exons. The record is from RefSeq and is a predicted model, not a curated record.
UUUUAAUACACUGAAAAUAUUUACGAUUCGAAAAACGCUAUCGCCAAUAUAAUUCACCAUUCAUGACAUUCUUACUUAUGAAUCACUCUAGUAUAUAAUCGCAUACAAAGAAAUAUUACGUCGAAAUUCAAAGGUAUAAUCAAGUGGAUUCAAAAUUAAAUAUUUGAGAAGAGAACAUAAUAAGAUUAUAAUAGCGUGAAUGUAUCACAGGAAAUGUGGAAACGAUCUCAAUUAUGUAAUUAGUGUGAAAAUCGAAAUGAAACGAAAAAUAUUAACCUGGCAAAUGGUGCAACUGGCCCUAGGUAUCUUCAGAUCCUCGAUUAACGUCAAAUUUUCUACAUCAAAUUGGCACUAUUGGCAGCUACGUUGCCAGGUUGGGAAGAGCACAUUUUUGGGAACUCCAUUCACGACCAAUGGCGGGAAAUAGUGAAAUAUUUUAUUUUCUAUAAAUUACUUCAAACAGCUGAUUAAACGUGAUUACACUUA